GACGAACGCUGGCGGCGUGCUUAACACAUGCAAGUCGAACGCUGAAGCUCAGCUUUUGUUGGGUGGAUGAGUGGCGAACGGGUGAGUAACACGUGAGUAACCUGCCCCCUUCUUUGGGAUAACGCCCGGAAACGGGUGCUAAUACUGGAUAUUCACUGGUCUUCGCAUGGGGGUUGGUGGAAAGGGUUUUUCUGGUGGGGGAUGGGCUCGCGGCCUAUCAGCUUGUUGGUGGGGUGAUGGCCUACCAAGGCUUUGACGGGUAGCCGGCCUGAGAGGGCGACCGGUCACAUUGGGACUGAGAUACGGCCCAGACUCCUACGGGAGGCAGCAGUGGGGAAUAUUGCACAAUGGGCGCAAGCCUGAUGCAGCGACGCCGCGUGAGGGAUGGAGGCCUUCGGGUUGUGAACCUCUUUCGCUCAUGGUCAAGCCGCAACAAUGGUUGUGGUGAGGGUAGUGGGUAAAGAAGCGCCGGCUAACUACGU
This 482-nucleotide ribosomal RNA is filed under the name uncultured bacterium. Its description in RNAcentral is "partial 16S ribosomal RNA". It matches the Rfam family "Bacterial small subunit ribosomal RNA", at positions 28 to 506 of the family's 1533-position model. The record is from RNAcentral.